GCCUGGGUACCGGAGGGAGGGAGGCGGGCAGAGGAGGGGAGAUGGGCACCCCCAGUCUUUCCAUCCUCCUCAUUCGUCUAGGGGCACCCGAAUCCCCUAUUCCUUAUUUCCCCUAUCACUCAGGCACUGGCAGGGUCCUUUGCCCACUCCUGUUGGCCGCUGCGGCUCCAAAGCGAGCUGGGCAGAUGUGCCUGAGACAGGUUUGACCAGGCAACUGAAAAGACAUCCCUAAGAGAAGACAAAGCAAAGGUAUGAAAGGAACACACGUCCCUGACUGACUAGGAGGAACAGAGCUGCCUGCUAUCUGGAACAACUUCCUCCCAGACUAAGUGAGGCCCGGAGAGAAGAUAUGACUUGCUUAAGGUCACACACUUAGUUUCUCUGUCAAUCUUUCUAAAUCUAGGACGAGUUCUCUUCCCACUGUAUCAGGCUGCCUCAACAAACAGGGAAGUACAAAAAUAGCCAAAUCCAGGAAGGAGGGCAAGUGGUCUGUGUCUCCUCCAAUUAUUUCAUGGGACAGCCAAGCCUAUUUUCUUGAUUUCCCUUGUGCCCCUCCUGUCGGAUAUCUGCUUUGGGACCCAUCUCUUUUGGGCUUGCAGAGAGAACGGGCUGCACCAGCUCUCUACCCUCUGCAUCACCCAGAUGGUCAAACAUGCAAAGGGAAAGGAGAGCUGGGGCCAGAGUCAAGGCAGGCAAAGAG
This 700-nucleotide long non-coding RNA is filed under the name Homo sapiens (human). RNAcentral describes it as "HSALNT0352270". The record is from RNAcentral. Lineage: Eukaryota; Metazoa; Chordata; Mammalia; Primates; Hominidae.